GUGUCAGCAGCCGCGGUAAUACGGAGGGUGCGAGCGUUGUCCGGAAUCACUGGGCGUAAAGGGCGCGUAGGCGGUUCGUUAAGUUGCUGGUGAAAUCCCGGGGCUCAACUCCGGGGCUGCCGGCAAGACUGGCGGGCUAGAGCACGGUAGAGGCGGAUGGAAUUCCCGGUGUAGCGGUGGAAUGCGUAGAUAUCGGGAAGAAUACCGGUGGCGAAGGCGUUCCGCUGGGCCGUUGCUGACGCUGAGGCGCGACAGCGUGGGGAGCAAACAGGAUUAGAUACCCUGGUAGUCC
RNAcentral lists this ribosomal RNA (292 nucleotides) under uncultured bacterium. Its description in RNAcentral is "partial 16S ribosomal RNA". It matches the Rfam family "Bacterial small subunit ribosomal RNA", at positions 505 to 796 of the family's 1533-position model. The record is from RNAcentral.